CAGAGCUACCCAACAAAAAUAACUUCUUAUGCUAAAAUAGGAAUUUUUUUCUCUCCCCUCUCUUCCAGUGGGCGGCUCCAGGUGUCAACUGAGCAGAGUCAGGAUCAGCUGCAGUUAUUCCAGAGUACGUGUCCACGUGCAGAAUAUUCCGGAACAGCAGCAGCAGCAGUGGCAAGCACUGAGAUCGAGCAGGAUGGAGUGGCCUGGCCAAGCCGUGGCCCUGCUGGCAGGAGCUGCAGGGUGGACAGCAGAGGGAACACAGCUUGGUGGUGAAGGUGCUGUUCUCCUGAAAGAGGAUCCUGGCAAAAACAUGGCUUGGUGCUGGGGACGGCUUGCUGAAGGCAAGACAGCAGCAGACACUUGAAUGGAGACUCCUCGUGUUUACAGCCUGGUCACACGAGUGACUGAGACCCAAAAUCUCCCUGACAUCCUCUCUGGAUGCUUGGCCUUGGAACAGCCUCGUUUGUGCCACACCUGCUCCCUUCUGCUCAUGGAGCCUUCUAUGCUGCACAGGACACUGGAAAAGCACUUGGAGAUGACUGGAGAAAGAUGGAGCUUCCUGGAAAAUGGUCUCUAAACCAGGCCCUUCCCUGUGCCGUGGCUUUUCUGGGGCUCAUUUAUAUCAGUGGUUCCUGCUGGAGGAACUCUGUCACCUUCCCCGAGGCAGCAGAGCUGAGGCCAGACGUGGUGUGCGCUGCUUGUGCAUCAGACAUGAGUAAUAACAAGUUUGGAGGAACUGUACCACUUAAUAAAAGCAUUUUAUUACAUUUAAAUGUAUUAAAAUGUGAACAUUAAAUUCAACGCGCUAAUUACUGCUCCCAGGCAUUGCCGCUGACAGGAAAUGGAUCCUCACAAUUGCUC
Molecule: long non-coding RNA, 861 nt
Filed under: Camarhynchus parvulus
Lineage: Eukaryota; Metazoa; Chordata; Aves; Passeriformes; Thraupidae
Description: lncRNA (ENSCPVG00000004805.2)
Source: RNAcentral